RNAcentral lists this ribosomal RNA (512 nucleotides) under uncultured bacterium. RNAcentral describes it as "bacterial SSU rRNA". It matches the Rfam family "Bacterial small subunit ribosomal RNA", at positions 26 to 518 of the family's 1533-position model. The record is from RNAcentral.
GGCUACGAGGACGAACGCUGGCGGCGUGCCUAACACAUGCAAGUCGAGCGGGGACUUUAGACAGAUUGAAGACUCGGUUGGAAAUGAAGAUGUAAAGUUCUAGCGGCGGACGGGUGAGUAACGCGUGAGCAACCUGUCCCUUACAGGGGGAUAACACAGCGAAAGUUGUACUAAUACCGCAUGAGACCACAGUAUCACAUGGUACAGGGGUCAAAGGAGCAAUCCGGUAAGGGGUGGGCUCGCGUCCGAUUAGAUAGUUGGUGAGGUAACGGCCCACCAAGUCGACGAUCGGUAGCCGACCUGAGAGGGUGAUCGGCCACAUUGGGACUGAGACACGGCCCAAACUCCUACGGGAGGCAGCAGUGGGGAAUAUUGGGCAAUGGGGGGAAACCCUGACCCAGCAACGCCGCGUGAGGGAAGAAGGUUUUCGGAUCGUAAACCUCUGUCCUUGGUGAAGAGGAAGAGACGGUAGCCAAGGAGGAAGCCCCGGCUAACUACGUGCCAGCAGCGGC